UGUACACAUCUCUGUACAUCACUUUGGAUAAAAGUGUCUGCUAAAUGGCAUAAG
Molecule: non-coding RNA, 54 nt
Organism: Salmo salar (Atlantic salmon)
Lineage: Eukaryota; Metazoa; Chordata; Actinopteri; Salmoniformes; Salmonidae
Source: Rfam